This 2439-nucleotide unclassified non-coding RNA is filed under the name Leishmania donovani. RNAcentral's name for it is "gene:LdHU3.30.4970(CDS-product:hypothetical_prote in_conserved)". The record is from RNAcentral. Lineage: Eukaryota; Euglenozoa; Kinetoplastea; Trypanosomatida; Trypanosomatidae.
GGACACUUCAAGAGAGUCUUUUCCUACUGUUCACACUGUUCCUCUUCCUUUCGGAAAACAAAGUCGAACUGAACCGCGCCGACUCUGAACCACCGCAACCCUAGGUAACAGAGUUGCCAGUGGUGCAGCAAUCCAUACGCUUUUUUUUUCCUGCAUUGCUCUUUGCGGUGCAUCUCCGAGAGUUGAUUUACCCCAUCCCGGACACGAGAGCGCAUACCUGACGAUGAAGGCCAUAAAAGCCGCUCGCGAGCGCGAGAUCGAGGCGAACAUCGCCCUCCGGGAGCGCGAGAUCGCCGCGCUGGAGCAAGAGAAGACCGAGCUGCAGUCCUUCAUGACCAGGGCGAACCCGAAAAUGCGCGAGGACCCGCUGCUUGCUUCUUUUCCUGUGCUCAACUACUGCGGCAGGAAGCCGCGCCAAACAAUUCAGAAUGUUUCCGUGGAGCAGUAUGGGAACAUAAUGGUUCAGCUAGAGAUCGCGAAGAAAGCAAUCGAUGCACAGAACCACAAGGACCGCGUCGAAGUUCAAGAGCUGAGCCGCCUCAUUCGUGAGCAGGAGAAACAGCAGAAGACGCUUACGCAAAAGGCGAGGAGGCUCGGUGAGGACGCGGGCAUUGACAUCAAGUAUUUCACAGAGCGCCGGCGUGGUGGGAUGAUGAAGAUGCAGGACUACAAGACUGAGGUCUCUGUUGCUGAGCUGGAGGCGCGCACGCGCCUUGUGGACCACGAGGUCAAGGUAGCCAGGUUGCUUGCUGAAAAGAAGGGCGCCGCCAUCCUCGCGCUCACGAAGCUCGUGGAGAAGCGCCGCUCCACCAUUGAUGACAUCGAUUCCUUGUACAACGAAAUCCGCAUUGUAGAUCGCGACACAACCGUCGCGAGCGAGGAGCUGGCCCGGGUGAAUGCUGACAUCCAGGAUGCGGACGCCUGGCUUGAGGCGCGGCCGAACCCGGCCGACUCGGUGGCGCGCAAGGCCAUUGAGGAGGACUCCGCCACACUCAGGGAAGAGAAGGAGCAAACGGUGAAUGAGCAGCGCGUCCCACAGGAACGCGUCAUCAAGGCGCAGGACUACCGCAUCGCGCAGCUGGAGAAGCGGGCGAAAAUUGUCGAAAAAGCUAUCAAGAACAACGGCCUCUCUCGCGAGGUCGACAAAAUUGUGGCGCACGGCUGGUCGCAGCGGGAGGUGGAGGUGCCGGAGGACCAGGAGGAGCUGUACGACAUUGAGAAAAUCAUCCCGGCCCAGGAGAAGGUCCAUCCUGGCAUCUACAACUUGCUGCUCACGGAGAAGGAGAAGACGGCGCGCAUUGUCAGCAUUCUCACCAUCACCGCCAAGGAGAAGGAGGAGCUCAUCGCUGCCCUCACAACCCGACUAGAAAAGUUGGCAGCGGAGUGCACCGCGGCGAUACAGGAACUGGACAACUACGCAUCGGGGAUGGUGUUUUCCGAGGAGCAGCAGCGUGUGCAGGCACUCAAGUGGGUGCGCGAGCAACGCCGGCGCUGCGCCAAGCUCUUCUAUCAGAAAUCACUCCUUGAGAGCGCCCUGGAGGAGGAUGGUUAGUGGCACUUUUGUAUCACCCGUUAGCGGAGUGAGUCCACCCGAUGCUUUCGUUAUCGUCCUUGACAUUGCACGUUUCCUGCCUCCACGGCAGCCACCAUGGGCAGGCACAGAACCGCACCGCACGUGCGCUCGCUGCGCACACCCAGUUUCUCCUCCGUUGUACCAGCGUUUUUUUUUUUCCUUCACUUUGUUCAGCAUCUCUUUUUUUCUUGGCCGACCCGGAUAGCUGCUGCGGCGCUGUGCAGGUGGAGAGCGAUAUUUCCGUUAGUAGCUCUUCGCAGAGGACUGCCGCGUUCCUAUGGUUCCCGUGAGCAUUCUGCUGGACUCGACAGCGGAGCGGUAGUUGCGCGUGUGUGUGUAUGUGCAUUCGUGUCGUACAGGGUGGAGAUGUGGAUGCCCGCUUUUCAUCUCGCUUUUGCCGCUCAUCCCCUUCCCAUCUCACCUCCUUUGAACGCCCGACAUAGUCGAUUCGCACAAACGAAGCAGCACAAAGGAGUACAUAAACGCCGCGGUCGCGGUUCAAACAAGGGCGACGCUCUCGUCCUCCACUUGUGUAUCUGGAGUUUCGGUCUCCUUUCGAGCUGUUUUCCAUCAUCAGACGUUGUUGUUAUUAGUUUUGUUGUUAUGAUGGCGUGUUGGUCGAUUUGGUCGACUUCUUCCGGCGUCUCUCUCUCUUGUCUUUCCUCUUCCUUUCCCAACUUUGUACCGUUUCUCUUCUCUGGCUUUUUGUGGGGUGCUCGCCACGCCCCUCUUUUUUCUUCUCUCGCGUUACUCGUCUGGUUGGUGUCUGAGUACGAAAACUCAGCCUCACUCAACGCACGUGGAUGAAUGACAGCAUCACGCGCGUGUGUGACGGCGGUGUGUGGUAUAACUUCCCUCUCGUUCAC